AGAGACAGCAGCCGCGCGGUAAUACGGAGGGUGCAAGCGUUAAUCGGAAUUACUGGGCGUAAAGCGCACGCAGGCGGUCUGACAAGUCAGAUGUGAAAUCCCCGGGCUUAACCUGGGAACUGCAUUUGAAACUGUCAGGCUGGAGUCUUGUAGAGGGGGGUGGAAUUCCAGGUGUAGCGGUGAAAUGCGUAGAGAUCUGGAGGAAUACCGGUGGCGAAGGCGGCCCCCUGGACAAAGACUGACGCUCAGGUGCGAAAGCGUGGGGAGCAAACAGGAUUAGAUACCCCUGUAGUCCCUGUCUCUUAUACA
Molecule: ribosomal RNA, 309 nt
Filed under: uncultured bacterium
Lineage: Bacteria
Description: partial 16S ribosomal RNA
Rfam family: Bacterial small subunit ribosomal RNA
Source: RNAcentral